GGGGCUGUAGCUCAGCUGGGAGAGCGCAUCGUUCGCAAUGAUGAGGUCAGGGGUUCGAUCCCCCUCAGCUCCA
Non-coding RNA from Mesorhizobium loti, 73 nucleotides. NCBI's taxonomy places the organism in Bacteria, Pseudomonadati, Pseudomonadota, Alphaproteobacteria, Hyphomicrobiales, Phyllobacteriaceae. The record is from Rfam.